This is a long non-coding RNA of Hibiscus syriacus, 406 nucleotides long. RefSeq lists it as uncharacterized. NCBI's taxonomy places the organism in Eukaryota, Viridiplantae, Streptophyta, Magnoliopsida, Malvales, Malvaceae. The record is from RefSeq and is a predicted model, not a curated record. The transcript is spliced from 5 exons.
GCUCUGCUGAUCAUACCAGUUUCACUUCUUUGGUAUCGAAACGAAAGAAGUCCGACUUAUCGAUCCCCACCAAGGAUAAGAAAGAUAAGGACGGGGAACGAAUUGUGACUCUGCAGCAGCUUGUUUCGCCAUACGGAAAGACAGAUACAGCUUCUGUUCUCUAGGAAGCAAUGGAAUACAUACGGUUUCUUCACGAACAAGUUUUGAGUGCUCCGUAUCUUCAAACCGGGCCGAUAAAUAGCAUGCAAGUGAGCAUUAAACCGAACCAGGAUGUAGAGCAUUAUAGCCUGAGAAGCCAAGGACUAUGCCUCGUUCCAAUAUCGUAUACCGUCGGAGUUGCUUGUAGCAACGGUGCCGAUAUUUGGGCUCCCUUCAAGACCACAUCGCCAAAAUUCGAUAUGGCUAU